UUCCAGACUCCUACGGGAGGCAGCAGUGGGGAAUAUUGGACAAUGGGGGGAACCCUGAUGCAGCGACGCCGCGUGGGUGAAGAAGCGCCUCGGCGCGUAAAGCCCUGUCAGCAGGGAAGAAAAUGACGGUACCUGAAGAAGAAGCCCCGGCUAACUACGUGCCAGCAGCCGCGGUAAUACGUAGGGGGCUAGCGUUAUCCGGAAUUACUGGGCGUAAAGGGUGCGUAGGUGGUUUCUUAAGUCAGAGGUGAAAGGCUCCGGCUCAACCGUAGUAAGCCUUUGAAACUGGGGAACUUGAGUGCAGGAGAGGAGAGUGGAAUUCCUAGUGUAGCGGUGAAAUGCGUAGAUAUUAGGAGGAACACCAGUUGCGAAGGCGGCUCUCUGGACUGUAACUGACACUGAGGCACGAAAGCGUGGGGAGCAAACAGGAUUAGAUACCCGAGUA
This 445-nucleotide ribosomal RNA is filed under the name uncultured bacterium. Its description in RNAcentral is "partial 16S ribosomal RNA". It matches the Rfam family "Bacterial small subunit ribosomal RNA", at positions 329 to 792 of the family's 1533-position model. The record is from RNAcentral.